This 381-nucleotide ribosomal RNA is filed under the name Triticum aestivum (bread wheat). RNAcentral's name for it is "partial small subunit ribosomal RNA". The record is from RNAcentral. Lineage: Eukaryota; Viridiplantae; Streptophyta; Magnoliopsida; Poales; Poaceae.
AUGGCCGCAAAGACGCUCGUGCGGGUUCUUGUCUCGUCAGUUGGGCACGUGUCUGCCGUCCAAUCGAGCUCGGUGGCCUUGGGAUCCGCGAUCUUCACCGCACGGGCAUCUCUUUGCGUGUCAGAUGGCUCUGGUUGUCUGCUUCUGAAAGUUCGCGCCCUUGGUCCCAUCUUCAACCCACUUCAAUUCUUCCGGGCCUCGACCUCUUGGAUCCUCGGCAAUGGCACUUCCUGUCACUUCUGGACUGAUAAAUGGAUGCAAGGCCGCUCCAUCCAGGAGCUUGCCCCGGGCCUGGUGGCCUUGGUGCCGAACCGAUCGCGCCGCUCCCGCACAGUUGCGGCCGCCCUCCACGAUCGCGCCUGGAUCAGGGACAUCCGUGGC